Molecule: ribosomal RNA, 425 nt
Filed under: uncultured bacterium
Lineage: Bacteria
Description: bacterial SSU rRNA
Rfam family: Bacterial small subunit ribosomal RNA
Source: RNAcentral
GAAUAUUGGACAAUGGGCGAAAGCCUGAUCCAGCCAUGCCGCGUGUGUGAAGAAGGUCUUCGGAUUGUAAAGCACUUUAAGUUGGGAGGAAGGGCAUUAACCUAAUACGUUAGUGUUUUGACGUUACCGACAGAAUAAGCACCGGCUAACUUCGUGCCAGCAGCCGCGGUAAUACGAAGGGUGCAAGCGUUAAUCGGAAUUACUGGGCGUAAAGCGCGCGUAGGUGGUUUGUUAAGUUGAAUGUGAAAGCCCCGGGCUCAACCUGGGAACUGCAUCCAAAACUGGCAAGCUAGAGUAUGGCAGAGGGUGGUGGAAUUUCCAGUGUAGCGGUGAAAUGCGUAGAUAUUGGAAGGAAUACCAGUGGCGAAGGCGGCCACCUGGUCAAAAACUGACGCUGAGGUACGAAAGCGUGGGGAGCAAACAGG